GCUUGUCUCAAAGAUUAAGCCAUGCAUGUCUAAGUAUAACUCUUUUACUUUGAAAACUGCGAACGGCUCAUUAUAUCAGUUAUAGUUUCUUUGAUAGUCCCUUACUACUUGGAUACCCGUAGUAAUUCUAGAGCUAAUACAUGCUAAAAACCCCGACUUCGGGAGGGGUGUAUUUAUUAGAUAAAAAACCAAUGCCCCUCGGGGCUCCUUGGUGAAUCAUAAUAACUUAACGAAUCGCAUGGCCUUGCGCCGGCGAUGGUUCAUUCAAAUUUCUGCCCUAUCAACUUUCGAUGGUAGGAUAGUGGCCUACCAUGGUGGCAACGGGUAACGGGGAAUUAGGGUUCGAUUCCGGAGAGGGAGCCUGAGAAACGGCUACCACAUCCAAGGAAGGCAGCAGG
This 398-nucleotide ribosomal RNA is filed under the name Aspergillus unguis. RNAcentral's name for it is "partial small subunit ribosomal RNA". It matches the Rfam family "Eukaryotic small subunit ribosomal RNA", at positions 30 to 432 of the family's 1831-position model. Lineage: Eukaryota; Fungi; Ascomycota; Eurotiomycetes; Eurotiales; Aspergillaceae. The record is from RNAcentral.